RNAcentral lists this ribosomal RNA (497 nucleotides) under uncultured bacterium. RNAcentral describes it as "partial 16S ribosomal RNA". It matches the Rfam family "Bacterial small subunit ribosomal RNA", at positions 28 to 507 of the family's 1533-position model. The record is from RNAcentral.
GAUGAACGCUGGCGGCGUGCCUAAUACAUGCAAGUCGAGCGAACAGACGAGGAACUUGCUCCUCUGACGUUAGCGGCGGACGGGUGAGUAACACGUGGAUACCCUACCUAUAAGACUGGGAUAACUUCGGGAAACCGGAGCUAAUACCGGAUAAUAUAUUGAACCGCAUGGUUCAAUAGUGAAAGACGGUUUUGCUGUCACUUAUAGAUGGAUCCGCGCCGCAUUAGCUAGGUGGUAGGGUAACGGCUUACCAAGGCAACGAUGCGUAGCCGACGUGAGAGGGGGAUAGGCCAAACUGGAAGUGAGACAGGGUCAAGAGGCCUACGGGAGGCAGCAGUAGGGAAUCGUCGGCAAUGGGCGAAAGCCUGACGGAGCAACGUCGCGUGAGUGAUGAAGGUGUUCUGAGCGGAAAACUCGGUUAUUAGGGAAGAAUAAAUGUGUAAGUAACUAUGGACGUCUUGACGGUACCUAAUCAGAAAGCCACGGCUAACUACGUG